Molecule: ribosomal RNA, 1269 nt
Filed under: Triticum aestivum (bread wheat)
Lineage: Eukaryota; Viridiplantae; Streptophyta; Magnoliopsida; Poales; Poaceae
Description: partial small subunit ribosomal RNA
Source: RNAcentral
AUGCUAGGGCCUCCCGACGGGUCGAUUUUGACCGAGGUCGCCAUGGAAGGUGAGAAGCAGCCGCAACCGGCGGUGGCAGACUCUUCCGCCACCGUAUCGAAGGUGCUCAACGAUGACAACCUCCUCGUUGAGAUCCUUCUCCGUGUCAGCUUCCCCAACACCCUCGUUCGUGCCGCCCUGGUCUGCAGACGCUGGCUAUGCCACGUCUCCGACAAGGCCUUCCUUGGCCGGUUCCGUAAGCUGCACCCCCCUCGCCUGCUCGGCUUCUACAUCGACACCGGAAUGGGGCCCCGUUUCACACCGAUGCUGCCUCAGCCACCGGAGUUGGCCGCCGUCAUCGACCGUGCAUGCUUCUGCCCGGACACCUGGCAGUGUACACGGGCUGACGUCAUUGACUGCCGGAAUGGCCGCGUCUUAACUAUGCUCCAAGACGGCCCUAGAUUCAAACUUGGAGUGCAUACCGCUCUGUGCACUGAGAGAGACAUGACGACCUUCCCACCACUUCCAAGGUAUAACCGGCCGGAGGGCAGGUUCUGCAUCUGGCCGUGUCUCCUCUCCAAAGAACAAGGCGACGACUUGUCCUACUUUUAUGUUCUGAUCGAGUCUUCCGAGGAGACCACUAAGGUUACGGUGCGAGUAUAUAUGUUGCAACAUGGUGUCUGGUGCACACAUCAUACUUUGGCCACUGACCAGCCAUCUCUUCCGCUAUGGGACCCAAAACUUGUGCUGGUCGACAGUAAAAUUUAUAUCACGGUUGCCCCGAGAAAUAUUAUGGUCUUGGAUUUGUCGGUCUCAAGUUGCUCUACAAUUUUUCUGCCACGAGGGGUGGAGUAUGGAGAUAGAGACGCCAUGUUGUCACGGGCAGAUGAUGCAUCUAGUGUAUAUCUUAUUCAAGUGAAGGAGUUUCAGCUUCAUAUCUGGCUCCACGAGGGGAACAACUGGCUGCUGGUGCACGCCAUCUUUAUGAGUGAGAUGGUUGCUGAUUUGAGGAUGCAAGAUUACACUGUUGAGGAUGGGCAUAUUGAUGUUCUUCGGAUACUGCAGGUCGGGGACAACGCCGAGUUUGUGUUCUUCCAGAUGGGUCGAUGCAUACUGUAUCUAGAUAUCAAGGGCAAGACAUUGCGUAAAGUCUAUGCGAUGAAAGAUAAGGAUUGGUAUUCUGCUUAUUAUAUUUUUCCUUUUAAGAUGGUUUGGCCUCCUAUAUUUCCUGCACUGAAGCUGAACCUUCAAGAAUCGCCAUCUGAAGAGCAAUAUCAUCCAGCUCAGUGA